AGCACCCGGAGGAAAACAUGGGGAAAAUGUGCAAACUCCACUCGCCCGAGAAUGGAAUCAAACCCAGGUCCCUGGCACUGUGAGGCAGUAGUGCGAGCCACUGUGCCUUGUGUUCGAUACGAUAUCAAAUGUGUUUAUUGGAGGCAUUUCCCUCCUGAUUUACGGUCUGAUGAUGGCUCAUACCUGAACAUGAGAAGAAGAAUUGCUUCAUACUACACCAGAGAAUACAGAAAGGAUAGACACCACAGAUAGGAUCCUGACCAUCACUCAAAUAGCAACUGCACAACUGUGGGAAGAAUCCAGUCCCUUCACAGCAAGGCACAACACAGAGAAGGUUGAGCAGAGAAACCAACACCUGGAAAUUGGUCGGGUCAGGGGAGUUUUGAGAUAUCUUCAGAUCUGAAACUGGUCAGCGGUGUGGAGCCGUCCAUCAGAACGAACCUUUCUGAAGUUUCGGUUGUGGGUGAUCGGUCAGGGUGAGGCUGGGAAGAAGUGUGAGUGGUUCCAGUUGUGGUGACAGUUUCAUUCAUUCAUCGAAUGUCUUAAGCCACUGCCCAUUUCUACAGGUGAGAGGAUGUUCAAGUUUGAGGAAGGCUCCACAGGCAGAUCAGAUCUCUGAACACACAAAGUGCAUCUAUUGUUUCACUUGCAACACAGAGAAGCAUGGAACCAAAACACUUCACAUAUGAGGUCUUCGACUUCUUCAGCCUUUUAUCGGCACUCGUGAAACACCAAUGGAUUCACAGAGGGGAGAAACCGUUCAUGUGUCAGGGCUGUGACAGGAGCUUUCCAGAAUCCCCAACUUUGCUGAAACACUGGUGCGUCCACAGCAGGGAAAAGCCAUUCACACGUGAGGUGUGUGACAAAUCAUUCUUGCAGUUAUCAAGCCUCUGCGCACACCAUCACGUUCACACUGGAGAGAAACCGUUCACGUACAAAGUGUGUGACAAGUCAUUCUCCCAGUUAACAAACGUCCGUGUCCAUCAAUGCAUUCACACAAGAGAGAAAGCAUUCAUAUGAUCCACAGUGUACAGAUGAUCUCAGGGUCGUUUUCCACUCUGCAAUGGGUUUGCAAAUGACUCUCAAUCCCUUCAAUUCACCAUAAAAGGAAAAUUGUCUGUCCUUGAAUGCUACCAAGGCAAAAAUUCAUACCAACCCACAUCUGUUCAGCCAAAUAUUGCACAUCCCAUAUUUAUUCAAGUAGACUCUGAAAUAUGUGGAACACUUCCAAUACCUUGACAGUCAUUUCUCUCAAAGGAUCGACAUUGAUGAGGGAUCCAGCACUGGAUCAGCUGUGUCAGUUCAGCCUCCUAUAAACAGCAGCAGCAAGAGUUUAACUGCAACAGUUUGAAGUGCAGAGAGUCAAGAGGGUGACUCAGCACGACCUUCAUGUGGAUAGUUAGAGAAGGGAAACAAAUGCACAGGAAGAACAUGAGUAAAAGUACUCUUGGGAAAAAUAGUCUGGAAAUUUCAUAUGAGGAAGUGGUUAAACCUGAUUGACAGCUACAGAAACAUUGUGGUGAAUGGAGGGAGAAAGGACAGAGAGUUGGGAAUUAGAAAGCACUGUCGAACUCACCUGGGGGAAGAGGGUCUUCCAGGAAUGGAAACUGAAUGGUCCAUUGACUCACGUGAUUACUGGAUGUCGGUAACCAUUGGUGGGUUUGUACGAUGGCAAAAAGCCCCAUUCUGUGUCACUAAAGUUCAGUGUCAUUUCUAACCAUUGGAAUUGGCAGCCAGACAAAACCACAGGGAUUUUAAACAAACUUCUUGUCUGUAGUAUUCUAAGAGAGUUUUCCUUGAUGUAAUUCUGUGUGUUGUGUGUGUGUGUGUGCGCGUGCACAUGCGUGUGCGCGUGUGUUAGUGAAGUGAGCCGGCGCUCAGGAGUGGGUACAGUUGGUGAUGUGAAUCAUAAGCAGACCAUCUUCAAUUGAUCCGUCUUCAACUAAAACCAUGGACAAUGUUUGUACUGUUCUGUCUAGAAGUAAUUUUCAAAUGGCUUGUUAUUUUGAUGGAAGCUGAACAUUGUGUUGCUUGCUGUUUUUUCAAUCUUCUGGAUAGAUUUUUCACCCAUAAUAAAUCACAUUUUUGUCACCACCCAAA
Rhincodon typus (whale shark) is the source of this 2100-nucleotide long non-coding RNA. RefSeq lists it as uncharacterized. NCBI's taxonomy places the organism in Eukaryota, Metazoa, Chordata, Chondrichthyes, Orectolobiformes, Rhincodontidae. The record is from RefSeq and is a predicted model, not a curated record. The transcript is spliced from 2 exons.